GAAAAGGCUCUGAAACAGAUCCAAGAUGUUGUUUGAGCCAUGCAACUAGAAGAUCUCAUAGAACUAAAGUUAUCUAAUUUACAGAAAAGGUUUUACGUGACGUCUAUUGUACAGAUUCAUAUGAAAACCAUAGUUCAAACUCCAAGGUUUAAGAAGUAAGAAAGAUCAUGCCAUUUGCAACAAACAUGCAUGCAUAUUUGAAAAGCAACUGUAAGUAUGCUAUUGGACAUUGGUAAAGAUUGAAUAUCUGACCAUGGCAUAUCAAGAAACCAUGGAAUGAGUACUGCUUAUCAAGAUCUGGGUGUGAGAAGACUUAAAAAGUCAGAUAGUCAGUGAGAACCAGCUAGAAUCCAUGAAAUUGUGACCAAUAAGAAUCCCAGAGAAGUUCUGCCCUAAUGGAGUCAACUUGAUUUGAGAUGCAAAUAGAUUUGCGCAAUUGAAAAAGUGGGAAGAUGAAGUGUUUGGAGGGCUUUUAAAUGGAGUAAAAUGGAAACAAAGACAAGUUAUCCCAACACCAAAAAGAGUAGGGGAUAGAAGGAUAUGUCAAGGUUUGAAAACCAUCCUUCAGAAAUGCAGGAAAGUCAAAGCUAGAAAUCUGUUGUGGGAAAACUAGAAGACCAAAAAAAGCACGAAAGUCAAGAAAGAAGUCUCUUUUCACAUGAAAGUGGCCUGAAGACAAAUACUGCUAUGAAUGGUUACAUCUAGGACUUCUGAAAUUAGCCCCAGAUUCAACUCAUUUUUUUCUGCAUUUGCUGAGCAAUAUGACAUGUUUACACCGAUUAGCUAAAAAGUUAUGUGAAGAAUGGGCAACAAUAUCUCUAAGUAACUAGGAGACCAUGUCCCUUGGCAUAAGUAUUGAUCUUCAAUAAUUUGUCCUUGAUAUUGAGAGAAGAGGAUCAAACUAUUUGAACCGGAUUGCUGUACUUCAACAUGUAAAGUGAAAAUGCAGACCCAGUUGACUAUAUUUCACUCAUUUGGGCCAAAGAAGCAGAAGUUUAUUAACAAAGAAGGAGAAUAACAAAAGAAAUAUAAGAUGGAAAGAAAAGCAAAAAGAAAGAAAACUAAAGAAAAAGCAAAAGAAAGAAUACUAAAUCUGAAAUACAUUUUCGUCCCCAAAUCAAGUUGGUGCAUAAAGUUCAAAUGUUUUCCUGA
Molecule: long non-coding RNA, 1152 nt
Filed under: Homo sapiens (human)
Lineage: Eukaryota; Metazoa; Chordata; Mammalia; Primates; Hominidae
Description: HSALNT0318943
Source: RNAcentral